UGUGGUGUAGUUUAUAUCUAAAAUACUAAUUUUCGGGGUUAGAGAUUCUUUGGACACUACUA
Molecule: transfer RNA, 62 nt
Filed under: Halocynthia aurantium
Lineage: Eukaryota; Metazoa; Chordata; Ascidiacea; Stolidobranchia; Pyuridae
Description: tRNA-Arg
Source: RNAcentral